RNAcentral lists this ribosomal RNA (157 nucleotides) under Drosera spatulata. RNAcentral's name for it is "5.8S rRNA". It matches the Rfam family "5.8S ribosomal RNA". From Rfam's summary of the family: 5.8S ribosomal RNA (5.8S rRNA) is a component of the large subunit of the eukaryotic ribosome. It is transcribed by RNA polymerase I as part of the 45S precursor that also contains 18S and 28S rRNA. Functionally, it is thought that 5.8S rRNA may be involved in ribosome translocation. The record is from RNAcentral. Lineage: Eukaryota; Viridiplantae; Streptophyta; Magnoliopsida; Caryophyllales; Droseraceae.
GACUCUCGGCAACGGAUAUCUCGGCUCUUGCAUCGAUGAAGAACGUAGCGAAAUGCGAUACUUGGUGUGAAUUGCAGAAUCCCGUGAACCAUCGAGUCUUUGAACGCAAGUUGCGCCCGAGGCCACUACGGCCGAGGGCACGCCUGUCUGGGCGUCG